UGCAAGCGUUAAUCGGAAUUACUGGGCGUAAAGCGCACGCAGGCGGUUUGUUAAGUCGUGAAAUCCCCGAGCUUAACUUGGGAACUGCAUUUGAAACUGGCAAGCUAGAGUCUUGUAGAGGGGGGUAGAAUUCCAGGUGUAGCGGUGAAAUGCGUAGAGAUCUGGAGGAAUACCGGUGGCGAAGGCGGCCCCCUGGACAAAGACUGACGCUCAGGUGCGAAAGCGUGGGGAGCAA
Molecule: ribosomal RNA, 235 nt
Filed under: Enterobacteriaceae bacterium
Lineage: Bacteria; Pseudomonadati; Pseudomonadota; Gammaproteobacteria; Enterobacterales; Enterobacteriaceae
Description: partial 16S ribosomal RNA
Rfam family: Bacterial small subunit ribosomal RNA
Source: RNAcentral